Molecule: ribosomal RNA, 427 nt
Filed under: uncultured bacterium
Lineage: Bacteria
Description: partial 16S ribosomal RNA
Rfam family: Bacterial small subunit ribosomal RNA
Source: RNAcentral
UGGGGAAUAUUGGACAAUGGGCGAAAGCCUGAUCCAGCCAUGCCGCGUGUGUGAAGAAGGUCUUCGGAUUGUAAAGCACUUUAAGUUGGGAGGAAGGGCAUUAACCUAAUACGUUAGUGUUUUGACGUUACCGACAGAAUAAGCACCGGCUAACUCUGUGCCAGCAGCCGCGGUAAUACAGAGGGUGCAAGCGUUAAUCGGCAUUACUGGGCGUAAAGCGCGCGUAGGUGGUUUGUUAAGUUGGAUGUGAAAUCCCCGGGCUCAACCUGGGAACUGCAUUCAAAACUGACUGACUAGAGUAUGGUAGAGGGUGGUGGAAUUUCCUGUGUAGCGGUGAAAUGCGUAGAUAUAGGAAGGAACACCAGUGGCGAAGGCGACCACCUGGACUAAUACUGACACUGAGGUGCGAAAGCGUGGGGAGCAAACA